CACUAUUCGCUGGUUGACUCUCCACAUCUUCUGACCUUGCUCGUCAUCUCUAGCAAUCCAAGGUUGUAAGUCUUUGUCAGCCUGCGAAACAAAUAUGCGUCAAGAAAGAUGACAUAGGAUAUCGUAUAAUAGUACAUCUUCAUGUAUAGGCAUCAUAGUAAAAGAAAAUGCCUGUUUUGAAAUAAAUUAAUCAAGAACAAAAGCUAAUUUUUGAACCAAAUUUAGUUUUGAUCAAACAUGUGAAUACAGCAAUAUCUUGACCUGUAGAACAAUAGCAGCUGAAGCUUUGGUUGGUGAGGCUGAAACGACAUCACAAAGCGCAUCUACAACCUACACAUCAGAAACAAGGAUUGUCAUUCAUCCGUAUUCUAUAAUGCUAACAACAAUAUUGAUGACUUCACACCACUAUUUAGCUAUGAUUAUAAGCACACAUACAUACCUUUCUCCAUCCUUGGUGAGCUGAUGUACUUUCUGCAGACAUCUGCAUUUCAGGAGAAGCUAUGAGCUUCUGCCAGAGCAAUGAGACAACAGAGAAGCACAGUUCUUGUUUCUCUGACAAUACAGAUCUUAGGAGAGUUUGAGAACCUCGGUAACCCCCAUUCCGAUCCAUGGUAAGGAAGUUUGCUAAAUCAGAUGCUUCCACCUGUAAGCUUGCAAUGGCUUU
RNAcentral lists this long non-coding RNA (664 nucleotides) under Setaria viridis. Its description in RNAcentral is "long non-coding RNA (SVIR_LNC005278)". The record is from RNAcentral. Lineage: Eukaryota; Viridiplantae; Streptophyta; Magnoliopsida; Poales; Poaceae.